UAUUACCUUGUUCAGAACUUAAAGAGAAAUCUUGAGUUUAUGGACUUCAGGGGGAGUAUGGUCACAAGGCUGAAACUUAAAGGAAUUGACGGAAGGGCACACCAGGAGUGGAGCCUGCGGCUUAAUUUGACUCAACACGGGAAAACUUACCAAGACCGAACAGUAGAAGGAAUGACAGAUUAAGAGUUCUUUCAUGAUUUAUUGGGUAGUGGUGCAUGGCCGUUCUUAGUUGGUGGAGUGAUUUGUCAGGUUAAUUCCGGUAACGAACGAGACUGAAACCUAUUAAUUAGUUUUCUGCCUAUAAGACAGAAAUGUUCGCAAGAACAGGUGCGUAAGUACCACUUCUUAAAGGGACACAUUUCAAUUGUC
This 369-nucleotide ribosomal RNA is filed under the name Entamoeba histolytica. RNAcentral describes it as "bacterial SSU rRNA". It matches the Rfam family "Eukaryotic small subunit ribosomal RNA", at positions 1069 to 1430 of the family's 1831-position model. The record is from RNAcentral. Lineage: Eukaryota; Evosea; Mastigamoebida; Endamoebidae.